Molecule: long non-coding RNA, 1229 nt
Organism: Juglans regia (Persian walnut)
Lineage: Eukaryota; Viridiplantae; Streptophyta; Magnoliopsida; Fagales; Juglandaceae
Exons: 2
Source: RefSeq, a predicted model, not a curated record
UGUUUUAGUUUCUUUCUAGAUACCAAAAGAGGAGAAAGAAACCGGCGGUGGCAUUUUCCAAAAUUAGCUUGCAUAUCUGUCCUUUUUUUGACAUUGCCCUAUUCUAUGCCCCAUGAACUUGGUGAUGCUCGAUAUAACAUAUUCCUUCACAUAUUGACUUCUGUGACCUUUGCUUAAAGCAAUAUUGACUUGUUAUUGGAGUAUUGCUCAUGUUGGAUGAGAAAAAACACAACCACAUUGAUGCAAAGAAUAUUAUUGCUCAAAUGGUGGUUUACUUUCGAGUAAGGUUGUCAUUUCUUCAAUAUCCGGUAUCUCUCUCUAGAGUAUGUGUACUUGGAAACUGAGAUAUAGAUUUUUGGAUUUACCUCAUACGGACUUCUUUUAUAGAUUUUUUUAAUAAUCUGUCUUGUCUAGGAUGCUUUGGUGAGACUUAAUGAUGUCAUUAUACAAGAGAAAUCAGAUGGGAAAUCCAAAAAAAUAUAUCUCAGUUAUUAAAGAUUUUAAUGAUGUCAUUAAAGAAGUGCCAAGAUGGGAAAAGAUAUUGAAGUUUCAUGUAGCAGUGAGAGAACAUACAAGCACUUGUGCAGCAGUGGGAGGAAACAACUCUGGGGGGCCAUCAUAUUUGCCAAAACCUGUCAACUCCAUUCAAUGCAUCCAAAUCAGAGUGAAGAAACUCUUCCAGUAAUCACUGAAGCAGUCAACAGAAAACUGGAUAAGAUGAUCAUAGAAGGAGAUUUUCUAGUGCUAACCACAGCAUUUCAAAAACGCCCACAUAAACUUCGUUUCUCAUAGACCAUAUAUGUUGAUACCAAUCACUGUCAUUUGCUAAUUGCUGGAAUUUCCAUCGACAAAAACUCAUGAUAUCUCAGUUGGAGUUGUUUUAGCUAUAAAUUAUUCUGAGGGGUUCUAGCUGAUUAUUCAUAUCAAGAGCAUUUGCAUAAUUUCAAGAUGAUCCCAGGCAUGUGGAGAACGUACGUUAGACCAGAUUUAGAACAAGUUAGUGCAGGGUAACCUAACUAUUUCAGGCAGUUUCAGUAGCUUUAGUACUUGUGCAAAGUUUGAAUGUGACCCCUGCAGUGCUAGUAUAUGUAUGGUUUUGGUCCGAGGUUUGCAGCAUUUGUGUAAUCUGGCAAAGGCAUUUAAAUGUUAGAUAUCAAGCUUGUUGCUUUACUCUGCAAGAUCUCUUUUACAUUAUUUUUGCUAAUGAUACUGUCAAUUUGUAUAUGCAA